This 2904-nucleotide ribosomal RNA is filed under the name Enterobacter hormaechei. RNAcentral's name for it is "23S ribosomal RNA". It matches the Rfam family "Bacterial large subunit ribosomal RNA". RNAcentral also lists the same sequence under 2 other names. Lineage: Bacteria; Pseudomonadati; Pseudomonadota; Gammaproteobacteria; Enterobacterales; Enterobacteriaceae. The record is from RNAcentral.
GGUUAAGCGACUAAGCGUACACGGUGGAUGCCCUGGCAGUCAGAGGCGAUGAAGGACGUGCUAAUCUGCGAAAAGCGCCGGCGAGGUGAUAUGAACCUUUGACCCGGCGAUGUCCGAAUGGGGAAACCCAGUGCAAUCCGUUGCACUAUCGUUAACUGAAUACAUAGGUUAACGAGGCGAACCGGGGGAACUGAAACAUCUAAGUACCCCGAGGAAAAGAAAUCAACCGAGAUUCCCCCAGUAGCGGCGAGCGAACGGGGAGCAGCCCGGAGUCUGAAUCAGCUUGUGUGUUAGUGGAACGGUCUGGAAAGUCCGACGGUACAGGGUGAUAGUCCCGUACACGAAAGCACACAUGCUGUGAACUCGAAGAGUAGGGCGGGACACGUGGUAUCCUGUCUGAAUAUGGGGGGACCAUCCUCCAAGGCUAAAUACUCCUGACUGACCGAUAGUGAACCAGUACCGUGAGGGAAAGGCGAAAAGAACCCCGGCGAGGGGAGUGAAAAAGAACCUGAAACCGUGUACGUACAAGCAGUGGGAGCCUCUUUAUGGGGUGACUGCGUACCUUUUGUAUAAUGGGUCAGCGACUUAUAUUCUGUAGCAAGGUUAACCGUAUAGGGGAGCCGAAGGGAAACCGAGUCUUAACUGGGCGUUAAGUUGCAGGGUAUAGACCCGAAACCCGGUGAUCUAGCCAUGGGCAGGUUGAAGGUUGGGUAACACUAACUGGAGGACCGAACCGACUAAUGUUGAAAAAUUAGCGGAUGACCUGUGGCUGGGGGUGAAAGGCCAAUCAAACCGGGAGAUAGCUGGUUCUCCCCGAAAGCUAUUUAGGUAGCGCCUCGUGAACUCAUCUUCGGGGGUAGAGCACUGUUUCGGCUAGGGGGCCAUCCCGGCUUACCAACCCGAUGCAAACUACGAAUACCGAAGAAUGUUAUCACGGGAGACACACGGCGGGUGCUAACGUCCGUCGUGAAGAGGGAAACAACCCAGACCGCCAGCUAAGGUCCCAAAGUCAUGGUUAAGUGGGAAACGAUGUGGGAAGGCACAGACAGCCAGGAUGUUGGCUUAGAAGCAGCCAUCAUUUAAAGAAAGCGUAAUAGCUCACUGGUCGAGUCGGCCUGCGCGGAAGAUGUAACGGGGCUAAACCAUGCACCGAAGCUGCGGCAGCGACACUAUGUGUUGUUGGGUAGGGGAGCGUUCUGUAAGCCGUUGAAGGUGUGCUGUGAGGCAUGCUGGAGGUAUCAGAAGUGCGAAUGCUGACAUAAGUAACGAUAAAGCGGGUGAAAAGCCCGCUCGCCGGAAGACCAAGGGUUCCUGUCCAACGUUAAUCGGGGCAGGGUGAGUCGACCCCUAAGGCGAGGCCGAAAGGCGUAGUCGAUGGGAAACAGGUUAAUAUUCCUGUACUUGGUGUUACUGCGAAGGGGGGACGGAGAAGGCUAUGUCAGCCGGGCGACGGUUGUCCCGGUUUAAGCAUGUAGGCGGAGGUUCCAGGUAAAUCCGGUACCUUUUAACGCUGAGGUGUGAUGACGAGGCACUACGGUGCUGAAGUGAUAAAUGCCCUGCUUCCAGGAAAAGCCUCUAAGCAUCAGGUAACAUCAAAUCGUACCCCAAACCGACACAGGUGGUCAGGUAGAGAAUACCAAGGCGCUUGAGAGAACUCGGGUGAAGGAACUAGGCAAAAUGGUGCCGUAACUUCGGGAGAAGGCACGCUGAUGUGUAGGUGAAGCCCCUGCGGGCGGAGCUGAAAUCAGUCGAAGAUACCAGCUGGCUGCAACUGUUUAUUAAAAACACAGCACUGUGCAAACACGAAAGUGGACGUAUACGGUGUGACGCCUGCCCGGUGCCGGAAGGUUAAUUGAUGGGGUUAGCGGCAACGCGAAGCUCUUGAUCGAAGCCCCGGUAAACGGCGGCCGUAACUAUAACGGUCCUAAGGUAGCGAAAUUCCUUGUCGGGUAAGUUCCGACCUGCACGAAUGGCGUAAUGAUGGCCAGGCUGUCUCCACCCGAGACUCAGUGAAAUUGAACUCGCUGUGAAGAUGCAGUGUACCCGCGGCAAGACGGAAAGACCCCGUGAACCUUUACUAUAGCUUGACACUGAACACUGGUCCUUGAUGUGUAGGAUAGGUGGGAGGCUUUGAAGCGUGGACGCCAGUCUGCGUGGAGCCGACCUUGAAAUACCACCCUUUAAUGGCUGGUGUUCUAACGUAGACCCGUAAUCCGGGUUGCGGACAGUGUCUGGUGGGUAGUUUGACUGGGGCGGUCUCCUCCCAAAGAGUAACGGAGGAGCACGAAGGUUGGCUAAUCCUGGUCGGACAUCAGGAGGUUAGUGCAAUGGCAUAAGCCAGCUUGACUGCGAGCGUGACGGCGCGAGCAGGUGCGAAAGCAGGUCAUAGUGAUCCGGUGGUUCUGAAUGGAAGGGCCAUCGCUCAACGGAUAAAAGGUACUCCGGGGAUAACAGGCUGAUACCGCCCAAGAGUUCAUAUCGACGGCGGUGUUUGGCACCUCGAUGUCGGCUCAUCACAUCCUGGGGCUGAAGUAGGUCCCAAGGGUAUGGCUGUUCGCCAUUUAAAGUGGUACGCGAGCUGGGUUUAGAACGUCGUGAGACAGUUCGGUCCCUAUCUGCCGUGGGCGCUGGAGAAUUGAGGGGGGCUGCUCCUAGUACGAGAGGACCGGAGUGGACGCAUCACUGGUGUUCGGGUUGUCAUGCCAAUGGCACUGCCCGGUAGCUAAAUGCGGAAGAGAUAAGUGCUGAAAGCAUCUAAGCACGAAACUUGCCCCGAGAUGAGUUCUCCCUGAGACUUUAAGUCUCCUGAAGGAACGUUGAAGACGACGACGUUGAUAGGUCGGGUGUGUAAGCGCAGCGAUGCGUUGAGCUAACCGAUACUAAUGAACCGUGAGGCUUAACCUU